CAGUCGCCGCGGGAAAACGGAGGGAGCUAGCGUUAUUCGGAAUUACUGGGCGUAAAGCGCACGUAGGCGGCUUUGUAAGUUAGAGGUGAAAGCCUGGAGCUCAACUCCAGAAUUGCCUUUAAGACUGCAUCGCUUGAAUCCAGGAGAGGUGAGUGGAAUUCCGAGUGUAGAGGUGAAAUUCGUAGAUAUUCGGAAGAACACCAGUGGCGAAGGCGGCUCACUGGACUGGUAUUGACGCUGAGGUGCGAAAGCGUGGGGAGCAAACAGGAUUAGAUACCCCCGUAGUCCCUGUCUCUUAUAC
RNAcentral lists this ribosomal RNA (301 nucleotides) under uncultured bacterium. RNAcentral describes it as "partial 16S ribosomal RNA". It matches the Rfam family "Bacterial small subunit ribosomal RNA", at positions 509 to 807 of the family's 1533-position model. The record is from RNAcentral.